GUAGAAAUGCCAGAAAAUUUAUGGGGUUAAUUUAGGUUUAAUUAAUGGCUUUUAGCCUUUCUAUU
This 65-nucleotide transfer RNA is filed under the name Taenia crassiceps. Its description in RNAcentral is "tRNA-Leu". Lineage: Eukaryota; Metazoa; Platyhelminthes; Cestoda; Cyclophyllidea; Taeniidae. The record is from RNAcentral.